UGUGCACAAGUAAGUAACUACA
Molecule: non-coding RNA, 22 nt
Filed under: Arabidopsis thaliana (thale cress)
Lineage: Eukaryota; Viridiplantae; Streptophyta; Magnoliopsida; Brassicales; Brassicaceae
Source: RNAcentral